This is an RNA transcript of Helianthus annuus (common sunflower), 1434 nucleotides long. RefSeq lists it as uncharacterized. The record is from RefSeq and is a predicted model, not a curated record. The transcript has 8 exons. Lineage: Eukaryota; Viridiplantae; Streptophyta; Magnoliopsida; Asterales; Asteraceae.
UAUUUAGUCGCCAACAAUACUCCCACUCUAUUUUCUUUAAACCAAAACCCUAAUACCUAAAAAUUAAGGAAAGAUAGUGGUUAUUACAGUCAAGGUCGAAGGUGAUGUUGUCAUGAAGAUGGGUGUGGAGAGGAGGUGGUUGUUGGUGGUGGGUAAGAGUUGUGGGAAAGAUGGAGGAAGCACUGGCGAUUUGAUGAGGCGAUUCCGAUUCUAGGCGUUCCGUGUGACGUUGUGAGUAUGAAACUGGUGGUCGGUAGGCACGGGUGGUCAUCAACGAGCAACACCUGCAAUUACUAACCUCAAAGAUAGUUCAAAUAAGUGGGACUUCAAAGUGGUGAUGGUGACUGUGGAUCAACAUUCUUUCAUACUACGUUGUCAAAGGCGCAUAGGUCUCAUCCCGGAUGAAAAUGACGAACUUCAUCGCUCCCCUGGGACUCCAGUGUUCACUGCUCCUGAAUGUUGUCUAGGCCUAAUUUAUCACGACAAAGCUGCUGACACAUGGGACGAUAUCCUUUUCUUGGGGACACACUACAAGAUACGUAUGAUAAGAGCAAAGGGUGGUUCAGUUCCUUUUGAGGAAGCUUUAGCUACCAGACUUGAUCUAUUCAAGCCUUCACCAUCAACCCAAUUUUAUCUUGAGAAGCGACCCCUAAGGCUUUUUUUUCUACCAUAAAAAUUGGUGGUUAUUUGAUAUCUGAAGGUUUUUGUCAAACGAUCAAUGUAAGUUUAUAGAGACUCUAUAAUUGAUUAUUGUCCUUUUAAGUAUCAAUAAAACUAUAUUUCCAAUACUAGAGCUUUUUAAAUGGGCUGGAGGAUGAAUAUUAUAAGGUACUACUGAUGCACUACGUUUCUUAUAUUAAAUCUUAUUCAUAUAUUUAGGAAUGGGACAAUUCGGGUUAUGUUUAGUCUUAAAUGGGAAAAUCUAAACAAAUUAUUCGGGCCAAACAACUAGAUAUUAAUUUUGUUUUAUUUUACUGGUAUUUAAGUGAUGUGUAUCCUCUGUUGUUAACUUAUUUGAAUCGUAUUGUAAUGCAGCCAUGCAUAUUUGUUUUGUUGAGGAGUUGUUUAUAUGAUAAUAAUGAUGAGGGUUGUGACAUGGCUACAAUAUAUAUAAAUACAAUUGGAGGUGAUGGUUUCGUUGAGGGGCUAAGAGACAUCAAAACUGCCACCAGUUACAAGUUUACUCAUCACCAGAACAGAAACAAGGUAGCCCAUGGAUGCAAAUUUGUAGCACUUUCAAGUCCAAAUGCAGUGUGUAAAUGGACUUAAAGAAAACAACAUAGAAAUAGCUCUUAGUUUUUCUGUAGUACAUAUGUUUCCUUUUGCAACUUUUGUAGAUGCUUUUGAUUAGAAGUUUGUCUUCCAUUAGUAUUUAAAUUGAAAACUUAUGUAUGGAUUUUUGGUUAUUAUAGUUAAUUUCAUUUGUUCUAUAAA